Molecule: long non-coding RNA, 603 nt
Filed under: Dromaius novaehollandiae (emu)
Lineage: Eukaryota; Metazoa; Chordata; Aves; Casuariiformes; Dromaiidae
Description: lncRNA (ENSDNVG00000013534.1)
Source: RNAcentral
CGCACAAACUGCGGUGCAGCGCAGCGCUCACGCCUGCAGACUGGGCAAAGAAACUCCUGGCAGAAGCUGGAAGGUGAUGUCUUCUCAAACCACAGACAUUUCUGCAGCAUUGGCUGACCAUGGCCCCACAUCUACACAAACAUGGCCAACUCCUCAUCUCUUAAAAGGUCACAUGUACAGUUGCCUGCAUUCAGGAUUGUAGCUAUGAUGAUUUAUCAGUAAACUCUAGAAGUGGGAACAAAACCUACAGAGGCGGAAGAUCAAAGAGAGAUGUGUCACCAUCCAACGGGACAAUAAGUGCUCAGAACAAUAUAACAAGUAUGUGAUUUGGAAUUUGGCUGGGAGGUGAAUCUUCAGGGUGUUUUGUGCCUAUGUAGUGUGUUAGCAUUUUAGGUCCAAACUGUAGUCUAGAGUGUAAACAGCAUAGCAGGGAGUGGAUCCAGUUGCUGUGCUGGAGUAGAGAAUCAGCUGGAGAAAUGUAUCUGCACAGCUCACUGGGAGUGUAGUUUAAAGCUGUGAUUGUAGAAAUGAUUUUUAUCACCGUUUGACUUUUCUAAAGGUUUGUGUUCCCUUCUCUUCCCUGCUUUUUAUGGCCUUCCUAGG